This 685-nucleotide ribosomal RNA is filed under the name Propionibacterium sp. 6D11. Its description in RNAcentral is "partial 16S small subunit ribosomal RNA". The stretch from base 1 to 461 matches the Rfam family "Bacterial small subunit ribosomal RNA", at positions 79 to 546 of the family's 1533-position model. The record is from RNAcentral. Lineage: Bacteria; Bacillati; Actinomycetota; Actinomycetes; Propionibacteriales; Propionibacteriaceae.
UUUCGGGGGUACACGAGUGGCGAACGGGUGAGUAACACGUGAGUAACCUGCCCAUCACUUCGGGAUAACGCUAGGAAACUGGUGCUAAUACCGGAUAUGAGCNCUCAUCGCAUGGNGGGGGUUGGAAAGUUCUGGCGGNGGUGGAUGGACUCGCGUCCUAUCAGCUUGUUGGGGAGGUUGNGGCUCACCAAGGCGUCGACGGGUAGCCGGCCUGAGAGGGUGACCGGCCACAUUGGGACUGAGAUACGGCCCAGACUCCUACGGGAGGCAGCAGUGGGGAAUAUUGCACAAUGGGCGCAAGCCUGAUGCAGCAACGCCGCGUGCGGGAUGACGGCCUUCGGGUUGUAAACCGCUUUCACCAGGGACGAAGNGCCUUUCGGGGUGGGACGGGACCUGGAGAAGAAGCACCGGCNAACUACGUGCCAGCAGCCGCGGNGAUACGNAGGGGGCGAGCGGUGGCCGGAUUUAUCGGGCGGAAAAGAGCUCGCAAGGGGGGGAUCACCGNCGGAAGGGAAAACNNGGGGCUUAACCCNGGGNGGGGCNNNCCAUACGGGNNGACUNGAGGAAAGGGAGGGGGAGGAANGGGAAUNCCCGGNGGAGCCGGGGGAANGCGCAGAAAUAAGGAGGAACCCCGNGGGGAANGGGGGNCNCNGGACCNUNCCUNGANAGCNGANGAACCGAAAAG